GGCGCGGUGGCGGAGUGGUUUGACGCACUGGAUUGCAACCCCAGUCACGCCGGUUCAAUUCCGGCCCGCGCCUCCA
This 76-nucleotide transfer RNA is filed under the name Mesorhizobium sp. M8A.F.Ca.ET.021.01.1.1. Its description in RNAcentral is "tRNA-Cys". It matches the Rfam family "tRNA". From Rfam's summary of the family: Transfer RNA (tRNA) molecules are approximately 80 nucleotides in length. Their secondary structure includes four short double-helical elements and three loops (D, anti-codon, and T loops). RNAcentral also lists the same sequence under 1 other name. Lineage: Bacteria; Pseudomonadati; Pseudomonadota; Alphaproteobacteria; Hyphomicrobiales; Phyllobacteriaceae. The record is from RNAcentral.